Molecule: ribosomal RNA, 446 nt
Filed under: beta proteobacterium SCGC AAA027-P23
Lineage: Bacteria; Pseudomonadati; Pseudomonadota; Betaproteobacteria
Description: bacterial SSU rRNA
Rfam family: Bacterial small subunit ribosomal RNA
Source: RNAcentral
CACCAGUGGGGAAUUUUGGACAAUGGGGGCAACCCUGAUCCAGCAAUGCCGCGUGAGUGAAGAAGGCCUUCGGGUUGUAAAGCUCUUUUGUCAGGGAAGAAACAGCAGCUCUAACACAGUCUGCGAAUGACGGUACCUGAAGAAUAAGCACCGGCUAACUACGUGCCAGCAGCCGCGGUAAUACGUAGGGUGCGAGCGUUAAUCGGAAUUACUGGGCGUAAAGCGUGCGCAGGCGGUUAUACAAGACAGGCGUGAAAUCCCCGGGCUUAACCUGGGAAUGGCGUCUGUGACUGUAAUGGCUAGAGUGUGUCAGAGGGGGGUGGAAUUCCACGUGUAGCAGUGAAAUGCGUAGAUAUGUGGAGGAACACCAAUGGCGAAGGCAGCCCCCUGGGAUAACACUGACGCUCAUGCACGAAAGCGUGGGGAGCAAACAGGAUUAGAUACCC